AGUGAACGCUGGCGGUAGGCCUAACACAUGCAAGUCGAACGGCAGCACAGUAAGAGCUUGCUCUUACGGGUGGCGAGUGGCGGACGGGUGAGGAAUACAUCGGACUCUACUUUUUCGUGGGGGAUAACGUAGGGAAACUUACGCUAAUACCGCAUACGACCUACGGGUGAAAGCAGGGGAUCUUCUGACCUUGCGCGAUUGAAUGAGCCGAUGUCGGAUUAGCUAGUUGGCGGGGUAAAGGCCCACCAAGGCGACGAUCCGUAGCUGGUCUGAGAGGAUGAUCAGCCACACUGGAACGGAGACACGGUCCAGACUCCUACGGGAGGCAGCAGUGGGGAAUAUUGGACAAUGGGCGCAAGCAUGAUCCAGCCAUACCGCGUGGGUGAAGAAGGCCUUCGGGUUGUAAAGCCCUUUUGUUGGGAAAGAAAAGCAGCAGGUUAAUACCCCGCUGUUCUGACGGUACCCAAAGAAUAAGCACCGGCUAACUUCGUG
This 492-nucleotide ribosomal RNA is filed under the name uncultured bacterium. RNAcentral describes it as "partial 16S ribosomal RNA". It matches the Rfam family "Bacterial small subunit ribosomal RNA", at positions 29 to 507 of the family's 1533-position model. The record is from RNAcentral.